CCUCCCCUUGCGCUCUGGCUUUUCUUCUCUACGGUGUUCGGCGCCUUGCCCUUCUCGUCGCCUCGUCGCGCUUGCGUUUUUCGCUCUCCUCGCUCUUCGUUCCGUUUCUUCUUCUACUACGGUUGAUUGAUUCGUUUCGCCGCCUUUGCCCUUCGGUGCUCUCAGAUUGCUCGGGGCGGUCGCGCGCGCCCCUCCGUGCGGGUGUGGCGCGGGGAACGAGCCGAGUUUGGUCGAGUUGUUCGGUUUCCGGUUUAAUUUUUCCAGUGAUUCGAUCCUCCAGUAUUUUCGUUUCGAUAAUCGUUUUCCGCCAUCUUCGCCUUCUCAGCGUGUGGGUUGCAGGGUUACCCGUCCCGAUUGGGGAGUGGAGGCGGGGGUUCCUCAUGGCGUCGUGUGGCAAGGAGGUCGAGGCAGGUCAGUCUCUCGUCAGAUCCGGCGGUUCAUUGGUUUUAUCACCCGGAGGAUCGGUGGUUUCAGGCUUAAUCGUCCCGGUGUGAUCUCGUCCUAUGGCCUCGGGUUACCGAGCGGUCUUCUCCGGUAGUCUAAUGGGUCAAGGUGGAUUCGAGACCUCGGUCGAUUCUUAUUUUAACGGCUGAUCUCGUUUGUGGUGGGGUGCUUGUCCUGCUUUUAGAUGCAGAAAGAGGAGGGGUCCUUGCUGGUUCAGGAGAGAUUAGUUGAAGGGUGGAGGUUUGCUUAUGGUUUCCUUCGUCGAUUUUGAUUUGUUAUGGUCGAUUUCGUAUCAUGGUGGCUUGAAGGUCGCCACCUAUGAACUUAACCCGUAUGGGAAUUGCUGUUAGCUGGAUCUGCAGAGGAAACAAACAGAGGUGUAAGUUUUGGAGCCUGAUUGAGGCGUUGUCUGGAGUUUAUAUCGCCGCGAGAACAUCACCGUUUGGAUAUCUCUACCCCAGUUCCUUCUUAUUGGUCCUUACUCUUAUGUCUGUCUGCUGCAAUUCUGAUAUCUGGGCUGCUGGUUCUUCUCCAGCAAUUGGAUUGUAUGGACGGAUGGAUUGGAGGCGGGUUUGAUUCUGCUUGAGUAAUCGGAACUGAGAAGUGUUCCGUGUGUUUGUUCACUGAUUUUUCUCUCCUGUCAACAUUUUUCGGCAAUUAACUUUCCCCAUAGGCUACCAUUGAUGCUUCGUUAGUAAUUCUGCAGUUUGCGGAGGCACACAAAUAGAACUGUCAGCUGGAUUAGUCAACGAUCGACCAGGCUUUAUCCCUAUUCCUGCAUUUUGAUGAUAGAUUUGUUUAAGGUUCAAAUUGAUGGUUAUCAUAGAGUGGCCUCUCACUAAUUGCAGAUCGCUUGGUGAUUGCACAGGAGCUAUAGGAAGCCCACUGAAUCUCUGCAGCUUUUCAAAACUAUUCUCAUCUUGUUUGUUGAGUGGAUUCUACCUCAAAAGUAGAUAAUGAUCAUAGCAUGGUCAUUAUUGCAGGUCACCAGCUGAUAUUUUUGCAAGAGUUGUUGGUGCCGAUUGGAAUGUGUUGGGAGUGCCUCUUAACCUAUUCUAAUUUAGAGAACCUGCCAUAUUUUUUGGAAUUAUGAUAAUUUCUCAGUUUAAAAUUUGGAUACUAUGAUGAUCAACAUGCAGUGGUAGAAGGUUCCGAGCAUAUUUGGGGGAUUCAAGCGACGUGGGGGAAUUUUAUGGCUACAACAUACUUACACUCAUUUCUAAACUUUGCUCUGUUUCAUCAUGUUAUGCUUUGAACAUAGCUUUAAUCCGGUGUUGCUUCUCUAUGUUCGCAGAUCAUUUAGCCCAACUAGUUGCUAGUUCAUCCAUCUGAUUUGGUCAUAAAAUGUUCGGUUUGGGAUUUCUCUCUGGUUUGAUUUGCUCUAUCUAUAUUUUUGUGCGUGCUUCUUCAUGUGGUGGCUGCAGGAUUAGUUUGGCAUUGGGAACUUCCUGCAUCUAAGAACUGGUACUUGAAAUUGGGGGCAGGUCAGAGUCUAGUGCACGAUUUUGGUUAGUAUUGGUUCCAUUACUUGUAUUCAGUCUUUUCAGAUCUGAAUGGUUGGAUGAUAUUUUGCCUCUCCAAUGGGAUGAUGACGAGGUUUGAGACUCUGAAUUUAUUCAGUAUUGUAUAAGCUGAUCUUUGUUCUGGUGUGUUUUGUGUCAUUCAGAGAUGCAGGUGGGGCAUUGGUUGUGGAGGUUGGUUGAUGUAGAAGGUUUGGUUAUGGUUGACAGUAGUUUUGCUAUUUCUGUGUCAUAUUAUGAUGAUAUUAGACAUUACAUCUUUAAUGCCAGCGCUUCAAUUGUGAUCGAUGUUCAAAUCUAUAGAAUGCUUGGAAGCAACACUUUGACUGGAAAAAAAAUUAUUACUUUGGAUUGGCAUCAAUGUUCAAAUCUGUAGGAUGCCUGUAAUUAUGUGGAUGAGUUCUUUUGUGCCGUAACAAUUGAAAUUAUAAGGAGGAUUCUAGUACUUGUCAUAUAAUUUCUGCAUCCAUCUGUUAUCUGUUAUUAUGAUCAAUCACUUAAAUUAUAUGGAUGCUUAGGAAUUCAUAUGUGCUUCCUAUCCAGUUAGUUUUUUCAACCAGUAAGGCUUUCAAGUUAUUGCAGAUGUGACACACUUGUUGAGCUAUAAUUUUCUGAUCAUUUGUUGCAUGUCUCAUGCCUCUUCUCUACCAAGCCAGGCCUAUCACUAUCCUAGGAACUCACCAUGAUUCUAAGGAACCUAAAAGAGUCCUUUGGUAAUUUCAGGCUUAGAAAGUUCAAUUUUUGCAAGUUAAAUCCGAUAUAUCUUCCAAAUUCCACUGCCUUCUUUACUUCUGUUGACCAGAGAACUUAUGGAUAGUGUACAUUGAUGAUUAUUUGGGGACCUGCGGAGUACAUUCUGAAGCUGUUUGAAUGCACCAUGGUUGCUUGAUGAUCAACAUCUGCAAGAAAGAUCCCUCUGCCCAGAGUCUGCCCAAACUAUUUCCUCUGUUGUUGACUACACAUUACUUUCCAGCUUGCUCGUUCAACUUCGUUUGAUGGUUGUUUGGUUGGUUUCCAGUUAUCUGAGAAUAUGGAUGCUUGGUUUCGAGUAAUGGAGCACUUUAUAAGAUUCUUCCUUCUAACCAGAGUUCACUCCUAAUAUCUGGAACUUCUGUUUUGGAUCCACUUUGACAGCUGUUUGGUUGGUUUAUAAUAACUGCUAAGGCAUCCCGAGAGGCUAUUUUCAUCUAUGGAUUCUUCUAGUCAUUUACAAUCCUUUCACAAGCUUAUUGAUGGUUCUGAAACAGUCCUUACCCUAGAUGUCUCAUCCAAUGGUGCAGGUUCACUGUUUGAGUUGAUUUCCAACUCGACUCUUCUGAACUUUGUUCUGUUAUUCCCACAUUUGGAGUCACAUCAGUUCAUUUUAUCUUUAUGGAUCAAUGGAUCAAAACCAAGGAUUGCUCUCGGCCAAAGAGAAUCUAUCUGAACUAACAUGUUUGGUUGAACGAUUGCUGCAUUUGAGCCUAUACACCAUUUGGUUUCGCACUUUCUGCUUUGUGGCAAGCUUCUCUAAUACUCUAAGAUGGAACUGGAGUCUUCUGUUUGCUUCUUGCGUGGUGGUCAUUUUUAUGGCGGAGGUCAGAUUUACUGGACAGUGUUAGAGGAAUGAAGUCAUCCUGGUUCAGAUUGAUGUGCUGAUUUGCUGGGCUUGAAGUCGAAGAGCUUUAGGAUUGAGCUGUAGAGUGAAGUUUACCUCAGAAGCUUAGGUGCUUGCUUUAAGUAACCUACUGGAUUUUCCCACCCUGACUUGUAUUGGUGAACUUGAAUCGUGUGCUUGGUUCCAUUUGUGUGUUAGUUGUUCAGAUUUGUUGGAGAGUCUGUUUGGUGAAGCUCUGUUAUGUUGACAAUAUGUUAUGUGGUUGGUUGAAUAGUGUUCUUAGGUUAGCUACAGACUAGGAUGUUAGACUUGCAAUUUUGGUUAGGCAACAGACUUCUUGUUCAAGUGGUUCAAGCGACGACAUAGCAAAAGUAUGCUGACAUUUUAAGUAAAGUACUAUGAUGGCAUUAUUUGCACUUAUUGGAUCUGAGAUAUGAGGAUGCUAAAAUGAAGAAUAUUAUUAUUAGCCAAAAACAAUCACCAACUUCUGAAUUGGUUUGCCGGACCUGAAAAAAAUAUCUGGAACAGUUAGUAGGACACUACUUUUAGUCUUGAGCUGCUGCCUGUUUGUUUUCUAUCAGUGGUCAUGAAGCUUACCGAUGAUGUCAGUUUUUUGUGAUAAGGUGAAACUGUACAAGAUGAGGAUUGCCCAAUGUUGUGUGCUUGUGGACUUCUCUAGCUCUUUGUAGUGCUGUUGGUUUGGACUCUGCACUUCGAGGUGUUCUCUCCUGUGAGCCAAGUUCUGAAUUGGGUUCUUGAUCAUGGAGUGAUUUUUUUCUGAAGCUGGUCGUUGUGGCAAUUGAAUUUGUUCACAUGGAAUUGUAGAAUCUGCAUUGGCCACCUCGAUAACUCUUAAUUUUCUUGAAUAAGAUUUGCUAAAACCGUGUUACAGUCCACACCUUUUUCAUCCUCCAGAUCCAGUUAUCUGUUCUUGUACCUUGGUGCCAACUGACCUGAAGUCUUACUUUUUUCCUGAUUGUUAAAUCAAAUAAACUGCAAAUGGGGACACUAUUUGCCAGAGCAAACUGACUAGGCUGCGACACUCUGGAUGUCUUGCUGAUGUUCACAGCAUGUGUCUUUUCUUGCAAGUUUAAUUUAAGUUCACAUUUCACAGCAUGUUUUUCUCUUGCAUGUUUAAUUUGACUUUUCACAUGUCAAAGAUAUGCCUUGUUUAGGCUCGAAGAAUCUUUUUCAUAUAAUUUUUUCCAAACUAGUCAGCUUUUUGUAAGCUAGGCCCUUUUUAUAUAUGCUUAUAUGCGCAAGUCUUUGCAUGUUGGUUGCUUGUGUUUGAGCUUAGGACCGUGGUUUGUUGUUUGUUUGUCUUUUUGAUUUGUGGUUGCUUGUUUGUUUGCGGUUUAACACUGCCUUUGCCGGUCCCAAGCCCGGAUGAGAAAAUGUGGAGGGAACUGCAAGUGGCUCAGCUGCAUGAUUGGCAUUUAGGAAUGUUAUGAAUGUUAUUGGGAGACAAAUUGUGGUAUAGUUAAAACAGCUAGAGGCUGAAGGCUUGAAUAGAGGAACUACCAUCAUGGCAACUA
Long non-coding RNA from Panicum virgatum (switchgrass), 5096 nucleotides. RefSeq lists it as uncharacterized. The record is from RefSeq and is a predicted model, not a curated record. NCBI's taxonomy places the organism in Eukaryota, Viridiplantae, Streptophyta, Magnoliopsida, Poales, Poaceae. The transcript is spliced from 2 exons.